This 232-nucleotide long non-coding RNA is filed under the name Cricetulus griseus (Chinese hamster). RNAcentral's name for it is "lncRNA (ENSCGRG00000025821.1)". The record is from RNAcentral. Lineage: Eukaryota; Metazoa; Chordata; Mammalia; Rodentia; Cricetidae.
CUGAAGCUGGAACAUAAACAGGUUAUGUGGGAACUAAGGGUCUUUGAAAAUGAAAACACCCAGGUCUCCGAAGAGUUCAGUGAGCUGAAUAAGGAAAACGUCAUCUAUCGCGGUCUACACAGCCAGCUCCUGAUGGAACAGACUCAGCUGAACAAGAAGGAGGACACGAAGAGAUAGGAGAAAAAGAAACUGCCGGAGGAUUGGGUCCUGCUGAAGCACCACUUGGAGGACU